Molecule: long non-coding RNA, 834 nt
Organism: Drosophila willistoni
Lineage: Eukaryota; Metazoa; Arthropoda; Insecta; Diptera; Drosophilidae
Exons: 2
Source: RefSeq, a predicted model, not a curated record
CAGUAAAUCAAUCAAUUUGCAACAGCAGCAUCAACAGCAGGAAAUUGAGUUAUCAGCCAGAGAAAGAGUCAGGCAAGAUAGACAGAGAGACAGAACGACAGACAGACAGCGAGUAAAAUGCAAUACAAACAAACACCUUAAAUAUUUAUAAAUAACAACAAAUUGUCGAAAUAUUCCAACAAAUGGCCCCAACAACAAUAACUGCAAAUAACUAAUUGAAUUUCAAUUGCAAUAAAUGUGACAACAACUAAACAAAUCAAAAUAUGCAUAUCACUCAUACGCCUCGUGGGGCUCAGAAUCAAUUUAAAUUUUAAAUAAAAAAAGUUUACCCCCUAAAUAAGUCGAUUAAAAUAUACAAAACAUUCGAAAUCUGAAACGAUAUUGAGAUUGGAAGCUGAUUGUACACAGUGUUUCAGUUUCUACAAAUUUCCCCAACCAGAAGAUUAUUCAAAUUGUUAAUUGAUGCAUUAUUGCCUGAAUGACUGCCAACAUGCGCUCUGCCAUCACACCAUAUUAUGCAUGCGAGCCACAUAUCGAAUCCGUAAAAAUCCUUGUGCAAAUUUGUUUUUAAUUAUCCUCUUACUGCUGAUGCAUUAACUCACCUGCAAAGAGAAAAAAGAAGAGAGAAGAGAGAUAAUAUUAGAACAUUUUUUCUGAUGCAUAAGUUGGGAUUAAAUCAAACUGUGAGGAUGGAAUAUAUGGUAUUGUGGGUCAAGUGUUUUAUACAAACAAAAUUAAGUUCUACAAUUUUUAUCACUAUGUAUUCGUCGUCCUCACAGUAUAUUAAGUUAUUUCAUUAUUAAAUGUCGCAUCUGUGAAGAUUGUGCAAAAGAA